AGCGAACGCUGGCGGCAGGCCUAACACAUGCAAGUCGAACGAACCUUUCGGGGUUAGUGGCGGACGGGUGAGUAACACGUGGGAACGUGCCUUUAGGUUCGGAAUAACUCAGGGAAACUUGUGCUAAUACCGAAUGUGCCCUUCGGGGGAAAGAUUUAUCGCCUUUAGAGCGGCCCGCGUCUGAUUAGCUAGUUGGUUGAGGUAAUGGCUCACCAAGGCGACGAUCAGUAGCUGGUCUGAGAGGAUGAUCAGCCACAUUGGGACUGAGACACGGCCCAAACGCGGAGGGAGGGCAGCAGGGGGGAGGCUGGAGGAGUGGGAGAAAGCACGACGCAGCCAUGAGGGGAGGAUGAUGAAGGUCUUAGGUGAGUAAAAUUUUUGCGCAGGAGACGAUAAUGAGGGAAGCGGGAGAAGAAGACCCGGCUAGAUGCGUGCCAGCAGCCGGGGUAAGCAGCGGAAGAGCAGCCGGCUGACA
This 475-nucleotide ribosomal RNA is filed under the name uncultured bacterium. Its description in RNAcentral is "partial 16S ribosomal RNA". It matches the Rfam family "Bacterial small subunit ribosomal RNA", at positions 35 to 539 of the family's 1533-position model. The record is from RNAcentral.